RNAcentral lists this long non-coding RNA (889 nucleotides) under Homo sapiens (human). Its description in RNAcentral is "non-protein coding lnc-KMT2E-11:2". Lineage: Eukaryota; Metazoa; Chordata; Mammalia; Primates; Hominidae. The record is from RNAcentral.
CACUUUCUCCAUCCCAGUAACUGAUCUCCUUAUAGUUCCUCAAACACAGCAAGCCUCUUUCCAAUGCCAGAAUCUUUCCACAUGCUGUUCCCUGGAACAUCUUUCAUGCCAAUAUCACUUGUCUAGUUUUCAGUCUAUUUUUGGCCUUAGCUUAAAUGUUGCCCCCUCAAGAGGCCUUACCUGACCACCUUUUCUAAAGAAGUGCCAACUCUUUAUUUUCUAUCUGAGCCUUUAGUUUCUUUCCUAGUUAGUACUUACUACAACAUACAACUAUUUUAUUUGUAUGCUUACUCAUUUUUCGCCUCUUCUCCUGACAAAACAUUAGCUCCAUAAUAACAUAAACCAUGUCCCUUUCCUGGUCACUGUAUCCCUAGCACCAAGAACAGUGCUUGGUACUUCAUAGGAGAUACUCAAUAAGCAACUGUUGAAGCAACUGUUGAAUGAAUUAGUGAAUGAAUGGAUGAGCCCACUUGUUCAGAAAGCUUUGUAUAACCAAAAAAUAGUAUCCUGUAUAAUUCAAUGAAAUAUAAAAAGAGACAAUAUCAGAUGCUAUUGCCAGUCCUGCAUUGGCAACCUCUGCUUGCAGAAAUGUAUAACAGUCAAUUAAUUUAUCUCUCGUUUCUGUAGCACAUAAAAUAUCAUCAAUAUAAUGAAUAAUAUAACAGUCUGAAAACUUGUCUCUAACUGGUUGAAGAGCUCGACCUACAAAAGUCUGACAAAUAGUUGGACUAUUAAGCAUUCCCUGAGGUAACACUUUCCACUGAAACCUGGUGGCUGGUUCUUUAUUAUUUAUGGCUGGUAUAGUAAAGGCAAAUUUUUCGCAAUCCUGCUCCGCCAGAGGGAUGGUAAAAAAGCAAUCCUUUAGAUCAAUUAUAAUUAAAGGCCAAUC